AGGUAAUCUGCCUUAGAGAUUGGGAUAACUCGGCGAAAGCCGGACUAAUACCAAAUAAUGCAAUAACUUCCUAGGAAGAUGUUGUUAAAGCGGGCUUCGGCUCGCACUUUGAGAUGAACCUGCGUCCGAUUAGCUUGUUGGUAAGGUAAUGGCUUACCAAGGCGAUGAUCGGUAGCUGGUCUGAGAGGACGAUCAGCCACACUGGAAUUGAGAUACGGUCCAG
This 223-nucleotide ribosomal RNA is filed under the name uncultured bacterium. Its description in RNAcentral is "partial 16S ribosomal RNA". It matches the Rfam family "Bacterial small subunit ribosomal RNA", at positions 119 to 334 of the family's 1533-position model. The record is from RNAcentral.